GGCAGUUGGUGAGAGAGGGAAAAAACAGAGAUUCAGUUGGAGGACAGUUGGUCAGAUGGUUAAGAGGGGACAGAGGAAGAGAUACCCCACGCUAUUACACAAAUAAGAGGGGGAAGAAGGUGAUCCUUGGUCUCAGGUCCUGCCACAACAGAUCUGAGUGGUGGCAGAUAUUUCACAGAGGUGUGGCAAGCAACCUGGGGGUAGGGAAGUGCAUCGGACCAGCUGGCCCGGUUCGGUUCAAAUCCGGACCUCCGUGGACCCCCCUGCCGUCUCCAGGAAUUCCCCCAAGGGGGAUAAGGCAUCCCUCACCAACCACGGUUUCCCCAAAUGUGGUUUUCUGAGUAUCCGGGAAUGGGAAAUUGUGACUGGUCUCACCAACCGCGACCCGAGUAUUGAUGUCGAUAUCGUGUUGAUUUGACUCCCACGUGUAUUUCUGUGUGAAGAGAAAAACCACAAAACAGAGUUAUACCUAAGGGAGAAGUCACAAAGCCCUGGAAACCCAUGCAACAGCAGCAGCAGCAGCAGCAGCAGCAGCAGCAGCAACACCACCACCACCACAAAUGGCUUACUGGAAGAAAAACCAAACAAACCCAACCCUGCAAAAAUAGGAUCUGCCUCCUCUCCUCUCAAGAGGUUUGGUACUAAAGAGGAGAAGGAGACCCAUUCAAAUGUAUAGCCCGCUCUUCCUCCAAGGAACUCAGAGCGGUGUUCAUCGUUAUGUUUAUCCUCACAACAACCCUGUGAGAAACAAACUACGUCCUCCUAAAACUCCACAGACCCCCAUUGUGUCCCCUGCACAAUUGUUAUUUUUUCCACUGCACAAAAUGCUGCAUGUUCGAAGAAACCUUGCAUAGCAGGGGGACACUGGUGUCGCAGCGACAGUAAUGCGUGGCGCUGCUUUCAAAUUGGACACCACAUUGGAAAAGAAGUAGCAGCUCCUGGCCUGAAAGGGAUGCGUAUUGACCAUCAGAUCCAACAAACUGCAGCCUUUUUCUUUUGGAAAAAUGGAGGAAUUAUCAGCGACCAAACAUUGACCCUUCUUGCUACACUAUUAACAUGUCCUGGAGCGUUUGAGAGACUGGACAGCUGACUGACAGGGGCUUGUUUCCAGCAUGAUCAACAGUGGUUGAGUCACUGUUCAAAGUUCGCCUCCUAAGUGCUCUAGAGCACUCCAGGCCUGAUGGGGAUGCAUGGCGCAGAGCCAGAAGUGUAUGGUUUAUGCUCCAGGAGGCCAGAUCCGUCUUAUGUACGUUCUCAGCUCUUUAAAGUUUUAUUCAUCACAAUUAAGCUGAACGAGAGCUGCUCCGUUGGGGCUAAUGAAUACAUGUUGCCUACAGUUCGGAGGCAGAGAGAUGCAACCAAAACCUGCGCUAGGAAUAAACUAGUACUACUACUACUACGACAAAUAUUUUUAUACCGCAAAAGAGUUGCAAGCAGCCAAGAUCAACAGCACUCUUCAUCAGGCUGGAUGUUAUGCAAAAACUAUAAAGGGGGAAGGGGAGAAAAAGAUGCUUCUCAGGCAGUGGCGGGCUCUCCUUUGCUGGAGGUUUUCAAACAGAGGCUGGAUGGCCACCUGUCAGGGAUGCUGCAGCCGAUGGCUGUACUGAGCAGGAGGUUGGACUACAAGACCUCCAAGGUCCCUUCCUGCUCUGAAAAAUCUAUGAUUCUGGGCAUAAUGGAUGGUCAGCUGACAAGGAUGCUGUAGCAGCUCCCUGCUCUGAGCACAGGGUUGGACUGCAGGAUCUCUACAGUCCCUUCUACAAUUCUAUUAAACCUACAUAGGGAAUGGUGAAAGGACUAGGUAGCUUUAGACUGGAGAACAGAGGAUUAAGGAGAUAUACGAUAGCCAUGCCCACAUAUGUCCUAUAGAAGAAGGAGUGGACUUGUCCUCUGUUUCUCCUGAGGGUUGGACUAGAAUCAAUGUUUUGAAAUGGCAAGGAAGCAGAUUUAGGCUAGAAACCUGGGCACUUCCCAGAUCACACGCUACAACAGAGGUGGUUUCCUUUGACUUGGCAGGAUUGUUUUGAAACCGUAAAUAAAGGGUGUUGCGUGA
This is a long non-coding RNA of Hemicordylus capensis (graceful crag lizard), 2053 nucleotides long. RefSeq lists it as uncharacterized. The transcript is spliced from 6 exons. The record is from RefSeq and is a predicted model, not a curated record. Lineage: Eukaryota; Metazoa; Chordata; Lepidosauria; Squamata; Cordylidae.